Molecule: transfer RNA, 53 nt
Filed under: Bifidobacterium breve
Lineage: Bacteria; Bacillati; Actinomycetota; Actinomycetes; Bifidobacteriales; Bifidobacteriaceae
Description: tRNA-Pro
Rfam family: tRNA
About the family: Transfer RNA (tRNA) molecules are approximately 80 nucleotides in length.
Source: RNAcentral
CGGGCUGUAGCGCAGCUUGGUAGCGCGCUUCGUUCGGGACGAAGAGGCCGCGG